This 900-nucleotide ribosomal RNA is filed under the name Paragnomonia fragariae. RNAcentral describes it as "partial 28S ribosomal RNA". It matches the Rfam family "Eukaryotic large subunit ribosomal RNA", at positions 35 to 967 of the family's 3401-position model. The record is from RNAcentral. Lineage: Eukaryota; Fungi; Ascomycota; Sordariomycetes; Diaporthales; Sydowiellaceae.
UAAGCAUAUCAAUAAGCGGAGGAAAAGAAACCAACAGGGAUUGCCCUAGUAACGGCGAGUGAAGCGGCAACAGCUCAAAUUUGAAAUCUGGCCUCGGCCCGAGUUGUAAUUUGCAGAGGAUGAUUUUGGCGCGGUGCCUUCCGAGUUCCCUGGAACGGGACGCCACAGAGGGUGAGAGCCCCGUAUGGUCGGACACCAAGCCUUUGUAAAUCUCCUUCGACGAGUCGAGUAGUUUGGGAAUGCUGCUCAAAAUGGGAGGUAAAUCUCUUCUAAAGCUAAAUAUUGGCCAGAGACCGAUAGCGCACAAGUAGAGUGAUCGAAAGAUGAAAAGCACCUUGAAAAGGGGGUUAAACAGUACGUGAAAUUGUUGAAAGGGAAGGGCUCGUGACCAGACUUGUGCCAGGCGGCUCAUCCGGCGUUCUCGCCGGUGCACUCCGCCUGGCUCAGGCCAGCAUCGGUUCUUGCCGGGGGAUAAGAGCUUCGGGAACGUGGCCCCCUUCGGGGGGUGUUAUAGCCCGUUGCACGAUGCCCUGGCGGGGACCGAGGUUCGCGCUCCGCAAGGAUGCUGGCGUAAUGGUCACCAACCACCCGUCUUGAAACACGGACCAAGGAGUCGUCCAUCAGAGCGAGCGUUUGGGUGUAAAACCCGCACGCGUAAUGAAAGUGAACGCAGGUGAGAGCUUCGGCGCAUCAUCGACCGAUCCUGAUGUAUUCGGAUGGAUUUGAGUAAGAGUUUUGCUGGACGGACCCGAAAGACAGUGAACUAUGCUUGUAUAGGGUGAAGCCAGAGGAAACUCUGGUGGAGGCUCGCAGCGGUUCUGACGUGCAAAUCGAUCGUCAAAUAUGAGCAUGGGGGCGAAAGACUAAUCGAACUGUCUAGUAGCUGGUUACCGCCGAAGU